Molecule: ribosomal RNA, 465 nt
Filed under: uncultured Klebsiella sp.
Lineage: Bacteria; Pseudomonadati; Pseudomonadota; Gammaproteobacteria; Enterobacterales; Enterobacteriaceae
Description: bacterial SSU rRNA
Rfam family: Bacterial small subunit ribosomal RNA
Source: RNAcentral
CCUACGGGUGGCAGCAGUGGGGAAUAUUGCACAAUGGGCGCAAGCCUGAUGCAGCCAUGCCGCGUGUGUGAAGAAGGCCUUCGGGUUGUAAAGCACUUUCAGCGGGGAGGAAGGCGUUAAGGUUAAUAACCUUGGCGAUUGACGUUACCCGCAGAAGAAGCACCGGCUAACUCCGUGCCAGCAGCCGCGGUAGUACGGAGGGUGCAAGCGUUAAUCGGAAUUACUGGGCGUAAAGCGCACGCAGGCGGUCUGUCAAGUCGGAUGUGAAAUCCCCGGGCUCAACCUGGGAACUGCAUUCGAAACUGGCAGGCUAGAGUCUUGUAGAGGGGGGUAGAAUUCCAGGUGUAGCGGUGAAAUGCGUAGAGAUCUGGAGGAAUACCGGUGGCGAAGGCGGCCCCCUGGACAAAGACUGACGCUCAGGUGCGAAAGCGUGGGGAGCAAACAGGAUUAGAUACCCCAGUAGUC